GUGAACCAGUACCGUGAGGGAAAGGCGAAAAGAACCCCGGCGAGGGGAGUGAAAAAGAACCUGAAACCGUGUACGUACAAGCAGUGGGAGCACAGGUUUACCUGUGUGACUGCGUACCUUUUGUAUAAUGGGUCAGCGACUUAUAUUCUGUAGCAAGGUUAACCGAAUAGGGGAGCCGGAGGGAAACCGAGUCUUAAUUGGGCGUUAAGUUGCAGGGUAUAGACCCGAAACCCGGUGAUCUAGCCAUGGGCAGGUUGAAGGUUGGGUAACACUAACUGGAGGACCGAACCGACUAAUGUUGAAAAAUUAGCGGAUGACCUGUGGCUGGGGGUGAAAGGCCAAUCAAACCGGGAGAUAGCUGGUUCUCCCCGAAAGCUAUUUAGGUAGCGCCUCGUGAAUUCAUCUCCGGGGGUAGAGCACUGUUUCGGCUAGGGGGCCAUCCCGGCUUACCAACCCGAUGCAAACUGCGAAUACCGGAGAAUGUUAUCACGGGAGACACACGGCGGGUGCUAACGUCCGUCGUGAAGAGGGAAACAACCCAGACCGCCAGCUAAGGUCCCAAAGUCAUGGUUAAGUGGGAAACGAUGUGGGAAGGCCCAGACAGCCAGGAUGUUGGCUUAGAAGCAGCCAUCAUUUAAAGAAAGCGUAAUAGCUCACUGGUCGAGUCGGCCUGCGCGGAAGAUGUAACGGGGCUAAACCAUGCACCGAAGCUGCGGCAGCGAACGUAUCACUUAAAGCGAUUCAGCGGGUUACGAUUGACGGA
This 763-nucleotide ribosomal RNA is filed under the name Salmonella enterica subsp. enterica serovar Dublin. RNAcentral describes it as "partial 23S ribosomal RNA". It matches the Rfam family "Bacterial large subunit ribosomal RNA", at positions 490 to 1228 of the family's 2925-position model. The record is from RNAcentral. Lineage: Bacteria; Pseudomonadati; Pseudomonadota; Gammaproteobacteria; Enterobacterales; Enterobacteriaceae.